AAAUUUGGGGAUUUUGGGUGAAAAUUUGGGGAUUUUAGGUCAAAAAUUGAAGUUUUUUUAAGCGCACAGAUGCCAUUUACAGGAGCCCCAAAAUUGAUGAGUUUUGCCCAAAAUUCAGCGAUUUUUCCCCAAAAAUUGGGAUUUUAGGUGGGAUUGGGGGUGAUUGACAAAAAAUUUGGGGAUUUUGGGUGAAAAUUUGGGGAUUUUAGGUGAAAAUUUGGGGAUUUUAGGUCAAAAAUUGAGGUUUUUGGAGCAUGGAGGCGCCACCUAUAGAAGACCCAAAAUUGACAAAUUUUACCCCAAAAAUUUGGGGAUUUUUCCCCAAAAAUUGGGAUUUUAGGAUGAGUUUGGAAUGUUUGGGAAAGAAUUUGGGGUUUUUGG
Poecile atricapillus (Black-capped chickadee) is the source of this 381-nucleotide long non-coding RNA. RefSeq lists it as uncharacterized. Lineage: Eukaryota; Metazoa; Chordata; Aves; Passeriformes; Paridae. The record is from RefSeq and is a predicted model, not a curated record. The transcript is spliced from 2 exons.